Molecule: ribosomal RNA, 615 nt
Filed under: Pseudoxanthomonas sp. M72T4
Lineage: Bacteria; Pseudomonadati; Pseudomonadota; Gammaproteobacteria; Lysobacterales; Lysobacteraceae
Description: bacterial SSU rRNA
Rfam family: Bacterial small subunit ribosomal RNA
Source: RNAcentral
AGAGCUUGCUCUCUUGGUGGCGAGUGGCGGACGGGUGAGGAAUACAUCGGAAUCUACCUUUUGGUGGGGGAUAACGUAGGGAAACUUACGCUAAUACCGCAUACGCCCUUCGGGGGAAAGCCGGGGACCUUCGGGCCUGGCGCUGAUAGAUGAGCCGAUGUCGGAUUAGCUAGUUGGUGAGGUAAUGGCUCACCAAGGCGACGAUCCGUAGCUGGUCUGAGAGGAUGAUCAGCCACACUGGAACUGAGACACGGUCCAGACUCCUACGGGAGGCAGCAGUGGGGAAUAUUGGACAAUGGGCGCAAGCCUGAUCCAGCCAUACCGCGUGGGUGAAGAAGGCCUUCGGGUUGUAAAGCCCUUUUGUUGGGAAAGAAAAGCNAUCGGUUAAUACCCGGUUGUUCUGACGGUACCCAAAGAAUAAGCACCGGCUAACUUCGUGCCAGCAGCCGCGGUAAUACGAAGGGUGCAAGCGUUACUCGGAAUUACUGGGCGUAAAGCGUGCGUAGGUGGUGGUUUAAGUCCGUUGUGAAAGCCCUGGGCUCAACCUGGGAAUUGCAGUGGAUACUGGGUCACUAGAGUGUGGUAGAGGAUAGUGGAAUUUCCGGUGUAGCAGUG